AGAGUUUGAUCCUGGCUCAGAACAAACGCUGGCGGCGUGUCUUAAGCAUGCAAGUUGAGCGGCAAGGGGGAGCGAUCCCUCCUAGAGCAGCGGACUGGUGAGUAACGCGUGGGUAAUCUGCCUUGGGCAUGGGGAUAGCCAUUAGAAAUAGUGGGUAAUACCGAAUACGUUCCACGGGGGGAGUGCUUGUGGAAGAAAGGGUGCUAGGGCACUGGCCUGAGAUGAGCUCGCGUCCCAUUAGCUAGUUGGUGAGGUAAAGGCCCACCAAGGCGAUGAUGGGUAGCCGGCCUGAGAGGGUGUACGGCCACACUGGGACUGAGAUACGGCCCAGACUCCUACGGGAGGCAGCAGCUAAGAAUAUUCCGCAAUGGACGGAAGUCUGACGGAGCGACGCCGCGUGGAUGACGAAGGCCGAAAGGUUGUAAAGUUCUUUUGCUGGGGAAGAAUAACCGCAGGAGGGAAUGCCUGUGGGAUGACAAGAACCGGCGAAUAAGCCCCGGCCAACUACGUGCCAGCAGCCGCGGUAACACGUAGGGGGCGAGCGUUGAUCGGAAUUACUGGGCGUAAAGGGCAUGUAGGCGGCUUGGAAAGCCUGGCGUGAAAGUCUGCAGCUUAACUGCAGGGGUGCGCUGGGAACUGCUGAGCUUGAGUGACGGAGAGUGAGCUGGAAUUCCUGGUGUAGGGGUGAAAUCUGUAGAUAUCAGGAAGAACACCGAUGGCGAAGGCAAGCUCCUGGCCGAUGACUGACGCUGAGGUGCGAAAGUGUGGGGAUCAAAAGGGAUUAGAUACCCUGGUAGUCCACCCAGUCAACCCUGACAGGAGGUGGCUGGGGCGGUAGCUUUCGGUGGCCGGAGCGAAACGUGGUAAGUGCCCCGCCUGGGGGGUAGCUUCGCAAGGGGGAAACUCAAAGGAAUUGAGGGGGGCCCGCACAAGCGGUGGGGCAUGUGGUUUAAUUCGAUGGUACGCGAGGAACCUUACCUGGGUUUGACAUACGGAGGGAGGUGGCAGCGAUGUCGCCGUGUCGCAAGACGACUCCGUACAGGUGCUGCAUGGCUGUCGUCAGCUCGUGCCGUGAGGUGUUGGGUUAAGUCCCGCGACGAGCGCAACCCCUACUGCCAGUUACUAACAGGUGAAGCUGAGGACUCUGGCGGAACUGCCGGUGACAAACCGGAGGAAGGUGGGGAUGACGUCAAGUCAUCAUGGCCCUUAUGUCCAGGGCUACACACGUGCUACAAUGGGCGCGACAGAGUGAGGCGAAGCCGCGAGGUGGAGCAAAUCGCAGAAAAACGUCCUCAGUUCGGAUUGGAGUCUGAGACCCGACUCCAUGAGGGUGGAAUCGCUAGUAAUCGCGCAUCAGCAUGGCGCGGUGAAUACGUUCCCGGGCCUUGCACACACCGCCCGUCA
Molecule: ribosomal RNA, 1404 nt
Filed under: uncultured bacterium
Lineage: Bacteria
Description: 16S ribosomal RNA
Rfam family: Bacterial small subunit ribosomal RNA
Source: RNAcentral